Molecule: transfer RNA, 74 nt
Filed under: Abidama producta
Lineage: Eukaryota; Metazoa; Arthropoda; Insecta; Hemiptera; Cercopidae
Description: tRNA-Lys
Source: RNAcentral
CAUUAAGUAACUUAAAAUUCAAAGUAAUGGUCUCUUAAACCAAUAUAUAGUAUAUUAAUAAAUACUCUUAAUGA